Molecule: ribosomal RNA, 453 nt
Filed under: uncultured Paludibacter sp.
Lineage: Bacteria; Pseudomonadati; Bacteroidota; Bacteroidia; Bacteroidales; Paludibacteraceae
Description: partial 16S ribosomal RNA
Rfam family: Bacterial small subunit ribosomal RNA
Source: RNAcentral
ACGGAAGGCAGCAGUGAGGAAUAUUGGUCAAUGGACGGAAGUCUGAACCAGCCAAGUCGCGUGAAGGAUGAAGGUAUUAUGUAUUGUAAACUUCUUUAGCAGUGGAGUAAUAAGGGGAUCGCGAUCCCUGAUGCAAGUACACUGAGAAUAAGGAUCGGCUAACUCCGUGCCAGCAGCCGCGGUAAUACGGAGGAUCCGAGCGUUAUCCGGAUUUAUUGGGUUUAAAGGGUGCGCAGGCGGCUUUUUAAGUCAGUGGUUAAAUCGUGACGCUCAACGUCAUCACGCCAUUGAUACUGGAGAGCUUGAUUGCGGUCGAGGUUUGCGGAAUUCGUUGUGUAGCGGUGAAAUGCAUAGAUAUUACUCAGAACACCGAUUGCGAAGGCAUCUCACGAAUCCGUCAUUGACGCUGAGGCACGAAAGUGUGGGGAUCAAACAGGAUUAGAUACCCUGGUA